UGAGUAACACGUUGGAACCUGCCCCAAAGUGAGGAAUAAGCCACCGAAAGGUGGUCUAAUACUUCAUAAUAUCCAUCUCGUAUGGAUUAAAGCUUUAUGCGCUUUGGGAGGGGCCUGCGUAACAUUAGCUUGUUGGUGAGGUAAAAGCUCACCAAGGCUUCGAUGUUUAACUGGUUUGAGAGGAUGACCAGUCACACUGGGACUGAGAUACGGCCCAGACUCCUACGGGAGGCAGCAGUAAGGAAUCUUCCACAAUGGGGCAACCCUGAUGGAGCAAUACCGCGUGCAGGAUGAAGCGUUUCGGCGUGUAAACUGCUUUUAUCACCGAAGAUUAUGACUGUAGGUGAAGAAUAAGGACCGGCUAACUACGUG
RNAcentral lists this ribosomal RNA (372 nucleotides) under uncultured bacterium. Its description in RNAcentral is "bacterial SSU rRNA". It matches the Rfam family "Bacterial small subunit ribosomal RNA", at positions 107 to 507 of the family's 1533-position model. The record is from RNAcentral.